Molecule: long non-coding RNA, 545 nt
Organism: Schistocerca piceifrons (Central American locust)
Lineage: Eukaryota; Metazoa; Arthropoda; Insecta; Orthoptera; Acrididae
Exons: 4
Source: RefSeq, a predicted model, not a curated record
AUACUGUUUACAAUAUUGUUAUGACGUACAUGAAAACUCCAUCAAGGGUAGUGACAAUACUACUUUGUCAGAACUUCCAUGCACUGAAGCUGAUCUCACACUAUCAGAGCUGAUGUCAAUUGAGGAACUGGCAAAUGGCGACCUGGGAGAGUGCCUCCUCAUACAACCUCCACCUGCCACACCUCCCAAAAGUCGCCACCUGCAGAAGUGGCGUCGGGAGCCUGUACGAGUGUUUCGUACCAGAGCCAAGCAGCAGUAGCAGCAGUUGUGAGUAAGUGAGCAGACAGACAGACUUAUCCUAAGGACAGAGAAUUGUCCUACAUUAGCAGAGCCAUUGUUCAACGUCAUGCCCCAGGUCUGCCGCACAGAGAAAUGAAGAAUUUUCAGAAGCAUUUUUUGGCACCACAUCAUCAUCUCCACUGCAGUUUGCAAGAUGAGCUACACACUUUUUAAUUGUCCUUAAUGUAAAGAAGAGCCAGAUUUAUUACAUCUUGUUCAGUGAUCAAGUGUGUUUUGUUCAAUAAAUUAUCACUUUACGUAUUGAG